RNAcentral lists this ribosomal RNA (446 nucleotides) under uncultured bacterium. Its description in RNAcentral is "bacterial SSU rRNA". It matches the Rfam family "Bacterial small subunit ribosomal RNA", at positions 1056 to 1501 of the family's 1533-position model. The record is from RNAcentral.
CAGCUCGUGUCGUGAGAUGUUGGGUUAAGUCCCGCAACGAGCGCAACCCUUACCCUUAGUUGCCAGCGCGUCAAGGCGGGAACUCUAGGGGGACCGCCCGGGUUAACCGGGAGGAAGGUGGGGAUGAUGUCAAGUCCUCAUGGCCCUUAUGUCCAGGGCUACACACGUGCUACAAUGGGCGAUACAAACCGUUGCAAAGCCGCGAGGUGGAGCUAAUCGGAGAAAGUCGUCCUCAGUUCGGAUUGCAGUCUGCAACUCGACUGCAUGAAGGUGGAAUCGCUAGUAAUCGUGUAUCAGAAUGAUACAGUGAAUACGUUCCCGGGCCUUGUACACACCGCCCGUCACAUCACGAAAGCCGGGAGCACUUGAAGAGGCUGAGUUAACCGCAAGGGGUCAGGUCUCAAUGGUGAACUUGGUGAUUGGGGUGAAGUCGUAACAAGGUAACC